Anser brachyrhynchus (Pink-footed goose) is the source of this 1752-nucleotide long non-coding RNA. NCBI's taxonomy places the organism in Eukaryota, Metazoa, Chordata, Aves, Anseriformes, Anatidae. The record is from Ensembl.
GAAAUGUCUUCAGGACAGAUGGGGGAUGCACACUUGUGAAUAAAUCUCCAGCGAGCACAUUAACGUGCCUGAAGUGCGUGGUCCUCUCCCUACUCAAUACCUACUCUGCCACCUCAUUUUUGCAGUUACUGGUAAUACCCCUGCUAUCAGGGAGAUAUUUUCCUCUGACACAUGGAACAAUAGUUCUGAAGAUAGCCAAGAAAUCCAGUUCACGUGCCUUUGCCCCUCUCUGCAGGGUGAACCCAAGUGCAGUAUUUGGGGAUCCUUGGGAUGCUGUCUUUAAAGUGUUUGUCUGAUUUGAACUAUCACUAAUUCAAACUCACCAUCUGUUAUCUCUGCUCUGCAUGCAGCAGAUCUACUGAACUCAGCAUUGUUUGGGAACCUCAGGGGACUGUGUUUCAUUGCCAGGUGAUGAAAUCCCAGAAAAUAAGAAAAUUGAAACUAAAACAGGAAACCAGAAUGGCAUGUGGUAUGGUCACUCUGCAGGGGAAGAGUAAAGCCUGGCAACAGUUGUGUUUAGAAAUGAAAUCUGUUUCAGCUGCAAAGUUGAUAGCAAUCAUGUGCACAAGGUUACAUGAAAAGUCCUUGUUCUUGUUAACUUUUUGGCUGCUCUGGUGUCUGUAGGCUUCAUGGGGGGAUUGCAGGGAAGGGGUUAAGUCCUUCUCUUUAGUAGAAGAGAGGCCGCAGCUGCAUGCCCUAAGCACUUGGGGUGGUGGGGUAAGGACAGCUGUCACGAAUUACAGGAUUCCCUUACACACUAUAAAAUGCCUUCUCUCGAGCAAGCCUGUUUGGCUGAAAAUAGGGAGUGUGGAGGCUGGACUUGGUAAGGAAGGGGGAGAAGAUCAUGCUUACUUGCUACAUCCCCUUUUUAUUCCAGAUGAGGAUGUUUGGUGUUAGGGAAGGAGGUUGGGAUCCACCUGGGUGCUUGCAUGUGCAAGCAGAAGCAGGUUUUUGGAAGCACUCUGGUAUCAUGGAGCUCCAUGAGAUGCAACAGGAGAGGCAAAAGGAAUGGAAAAGCCAUUUGAGACUGCUCCUGGCAGCACUGCAGGAUCUGCAAAGCCACAGGAAAGUCGGGAGGGUACUGAAGGAGGAGCAGCCUGCGCAGGAACCGCAGCAGUGGGAAGCACAGGCUGGCAGCGACAGCAUCCGGGGAGGUCUCUGUGCUAUGAGGAGAGCAGCAGGGAUGAAAUGCACUAACCCUUCUCAAGGAUGGCUGCUGGGUAUCCUGGAGGGCUAUGUUGGAGCAGGCUGCUGCACACUGAGGUCUGUCUGUACCUCGGUGGAUCCCUCACCAGCCCUUCAAGUCAGACAAGAUCUGCAGCAAAGUCCUAAUGGCUACACUCAGGCUUUCUCCAGCAUAAUUUGCCAGUGUCUAAACGUAUGUAAAAUAAGUUCUGAUGACACCUUUCCUUAUGAAUUAGCAGGUCUUGCUGACACAAAUCAGGAACUCAAUACAAUAUUCAGCAAGCACAUUAAAUCUCCUUCUAACAUGCUGCAUGCUGAGACACUCUUCGUUAUUACCUUAAAGUACCAGAAGCUGGAAAAAUGCCAGCUUCUCCCCUCUGAUGGCAACAACAAUGACAUAGACAGAAAUAAUUAGCUCUCUGCUACUCAGCUGGUGUGGAUGCUGCUGCUCUUCAAAGCACGUUUCUCUCCCUUUAGCUGCUAUGCAGAAAUCCUUGAUAAUUAAUCAGCUCUUGGUGACACUGAAACACUAAUAAAUCCUCAAGAGUUGCAUUUAAUGUGUUGUGC